This 484-nucleotide ribosomal RNA is filed under the name uncultured bacterium. Its description in RNAcentral is "bacterial SSU rRNA". It matches the Rfam family "Bacterial small subunit ribosomal RNA", at positions 46 to 526 of the family's 1533-position model. The record is from RNAcentral.
GCCUAACACAUGCAAGUCGAGCGGUAAGGCCCCUUCGGGGGUACACGAGCGGCGAACGGGUGAGUAACACGUGAGCAACCUACCCUCAACUUCGGGAUAAGCCUCGGAAACGGGGUCUAAUACCGGAUAUCACUUCCUGCUUCAUGGUGGGGGGUUGAAAGUUCUGGCGGUUGGGGAUGGGCUCGCGGCCUAUCAGCUUGUUGGUGGGGUAAUGGCCUACCAAGGCGUCGACGGGUAGCCGGCCUGAGAGGGCGACCGGCCACACUGGGACUGAGACACGGCCCAGACUCCUACGGGAGGCAGCAGUGGGGAAUCUUGCGCAAUGGGCGAAAGCCUGACGCAGCGACNCCGUGUGCGGGAAGAAGGCCUUCGGGUUGUAAACCGCUUUCAGGAGGGACGAAGCCACUCGGGUUAAUAGCCCAGAGGGUGACGGUACCUCCAGAAGAAGCCCCGGCUAACUACGUGCCAGCAGCCGCGGUAAUUC